GACCUGUUAAGGUACAGAUCCACCAUCUUCUCAGAUUGCUGGCCACCUGAAUAAAGUGGCCAUAAAGAUUAAAAACAAAAUCAGAAUUUGAUCAGAGUUUGGACUGUGAUGACAAUUAUUCCCCUAGACAUGAAAGUCUAGCUUCUGGAAAAGUUUCACUCCUUUGAAUGAGUGCAUUCAGCUGUGGAGUCUAACGAAUGUCCCAUUCUCCAUUUUCCAGAAGUCUGUUACCAGCAUAGGCAUUGCCCUCUGUAUGCCAAAAGAUCAGAUUUGCCUCUGUUUACAUGCAUAUUUACCACAUUGACAAAUAAUUGUUCUUAAUUAAAC
Phyllostomus discolor (pale spear-nosed bat) is the source of this 327-nucleotide long non-coding RNA. RefSeq lists it as uncharacterized. Lineage: Eukaryota; Metazoa; Chordata; Mammalia; Chiroptera; Phyllostomidae. The transcript has 2 exons. The record is from RefSeq and is a predicted model, not a curated record.